AUAUUUUUAAGUGGAAAUUACAUAAUUCAAGUGUUUAAAGAUUAGAAUUCAAAAAUAAGGGACCAAGUUUCAUUAUUCAAAAAUCAAGUAUGAAUAUGAUAAUAUUAUCCCUAAUUCAAUUCCAACCCUAAUUUUACUCUCUCUCACUCACUCACUCACUCUCCAUCUUCACCGGCUCUUCCUUUCCCUGUGCUAUGCCGCCGUUGGAGCACCCGCCGCUGGAGACCUUACCCAUUUCACUUCAAUUGAUGACAUCGUGUUGUCACCACCGCGUAAGCUGCAUUGUGACGAUCUUUACUACGCAGCGCGAUGGAUUUGUGUGAAUCACCGUGAGUUGCCACCGGGAAGCAAAUUCACUCACUUCGACAACUCUUCACAAGCGAAACACCACAACCAGCGCGCGAAGUAGAAGCAUCGUUGUAUGGUGGAUUUGGCGGUUGGGGGUGGUUUUGGAUGGUGGUUUGUGUGAUGGUGUUUGUGUGGUUGGUGUUUGUGUGGUAGCGUUUUUGUGGUUGUAUGGUGGAUUUGGUGAUUGGGAUGGUUUUGGAUGGUGGCUUAUGUGGUGUGGUGGCGUUUGUUUGCAGGCAAUGGCUGUGGUGUGGUGCGACCGCUGUGUUGCAAUGCGAUGUAGGUAGUGGCUAUGAUGAUAGUGUGGUUCAGGCNGAAGAAUCUAUAAAUAUAGCAAAUAAAAUAUAUAACUUUGGGUAAAAAAAUGAAAAUGGAAAAAAAAAAAAUAUGUAUAUGUUGUCGACAGAUUACUCAACUAGAUAUUAACUUACGGAGGAUUGAUAAAUAAGAAAAAUUAAGGGCCUGUUUGGUAAUGAUUUCGAGAAUUGAUUUUUUGACCGUUAGGAGAAAAGUGGAGGGUCACCCGUGAGAGAAGAAGUCAAAAAUUACGGCUAGAAUAAUGAAAUAACGGUCAAAAAAAUCAAUUUUUUGGGGUGAAAAAUCACUCCCAAAUGAGGCCUAAAUUAAAUUUUAGAUGAAAAUGAAAUAGCAAUGAUUUUUUUGAGAAUAAAAGAAUAGUUAAAAAACUUUGUGUAAGAAAUGUUAAAUAUUUUAAAUACAAAGGUCGUGAUUUGUUAUUUUCGAUUAUUGAUAUUCUGGUUUACUUAACAAUUUUUAAUGAUAAAUUUGUAAUUUUAUUUUCAGCAAAAAUUAUUUUUCCCUUUAAGAUGAGCAUUGUGAAGUAAAUGGGUCGAGUUUGAUCAGAGUUGCCCGUCUUAGUUUACAUCAACGCAACCCAAGAAUAAAAAGAUUAUGCAUUUAGUCUCAAAUCCAACUCAAUUUUCUAUGGGAAAAUUGACUUAAACAGCACUAAUAAUUGAAAGAAAACUCAAAAAUAUUUUACCAUUUUAUAACAGAUUUAGAAAGAUAAUAAGGUUUCACCUUUGCACUUUUCAACAAUAGUACAUUUUCAAUUUUUUAUAGAACUGAACUCCGAUUUAUAGGACUCAACUACGGGUCCAACGUGACAAAUAUCAGUUGCCUCCUUUAGAUCGACUUAGAUAGUUCACUCAUUCCCAAACAAAUAAUGAACUACAAUUUAUAGUUUAUAUUUUCGGACAUUAAAGAUUGGGGUUACAUAAUAACUGAUAUAUCGAUAUACUGAGGAUUCAAUCAAUCAAUACCUAGAAUAUAUUUUUGAGAUAUGAGAACAGGGAACCACAACUUUCUAUGGAGAGUCGAAUAUACUCUUAAACAUUUUUUGGUAGUCGAGAGAAUUCGAGGUUUUCCAAUACUUCGGUAAAAGUGCUGACUUGAGUAUCACAUUGAGCUCGUUAGAGGAAAAAAAUAGUACUCAAGGAUCAAUACAAUUGGAGAAUUGAUCCAUCUUGAGCACCCAUUUCUAAUUAAGUAGACAUUCAUUUAGAUAUUGAUAAUCAGGUUAGUCGAUCACGACGAAACUUAUAAUUUAAUUAAAUAAAAAGUUACGAAUUUUUUAACUUAUAAUUUAUAUGUAAUAUUGGAUUUCAAUGAAGUAGCUCAAUGUCGAUGAUUAAAGCCUCCGUGAUAAGAGUUGUCUAGAUCUAGGUUCAAUCAUUGAGCUUUAAAUUAUAAGAAUUCAUUUAAGUACGUAUGAUUAAAUUUGUAAAGUCGUAUACUUAGGUAAAGAACAAUUUAGAAGGGUGAGUAGGUUGUUAUCAAAAUUUUUAAUUUUCAAUCAAUUAUUGCAAAAUAAUUUUUUAUUCCAAUCAGAUACACAAUUAUAUCGACAGUUUUAUCACUCUAACUUCAGGUUAAUCCAACAGAAUACUGUUUUUCUCAAGGUUUUCAGAUACCUUUGAACACAUGUAUGAACAGUUUCUGUAGUGACUUAGAAAAAAAUUUUGUUCGUAAAUUAGCACACUAUGUAACGUGGUAAACCUUCUAAGGAAAACAUUCACAACCCCAUGUCACGGUUUAACAAUUCACUAUGAAAAUAUGAUACAAUCGUCUAAAAUCUUGAAAUUACAAAUACCAUUGAUCAUGUCAAUCAGACAAACUUCGUAAUGCAUCUCUCAGAUUGAAAUGAAUUUAAUAAAUGAAAUUUUAUCGUUUAAUUCCCACACUGGGUUAUUUUUUUCGACUUAUAGGUAUCAUUUUGACUUAUGAUUUUAAUUAACUAAAAUGGGUUAUAGGUAUCAUUUCGAAGAAUGUAUUUUUCUAACAUGAACCCACCUAGAGACACAAAUAUAUGUCUAUGUUGGUCUGGUCGGCACUCAUAAAGGAAAUCCAUAAAGAUAAAAACAAGAUUAGGCACUGGCAUUAGUGGAUAAAACGAUCAUUAAUAUUAAUAUUAAUAUUAUUAAUAAUUCAAUAAAGCUUAUGAAUUGGCAUAAUUCAGCAGUCUAAUGAUUAAAUAAUGGAGUUGCUGAGUCGUUAAUGACUCAUAAACCAAUAGAAAAUUGAUGGCUGAUUCACUUAAUUUUCUUCUUUUUCAUAUUGGAUUACUUGUCGCUUUCCACUAAUUCUGCUAUUUGAAUUUGGAUUAUUCAUUUUGUUUGAAAAUAAUUAGUUGCAUAGUUUUCGCAAAGCAAUAAAAUGACAAAAAGAAAAUCUUAAUGAUAUUAAGACUUGAGGUCCAUCUUAAUAAGGUCAACCUUAUUAAGUGGAGAAAUUCAAGAUCUUUAUAAAUUGGUAUUUAUUUCGAUAUUAAACUGAUGUGGGAUAACACAUCCUUUAACAGACCCCCUCAAGAUGGUGGCUCAUUUGAGCAGACUAAUCUUGAAAUUUAAGGGAUGACUCUGAUACCAUGUUAAGGCUUGUGGUCCAUCUUAAUAAGGUCAAUCUUAUUAAGUGGAGAAGCCUAAGAUCUUUAUAAAUUGGUAUUUGUUUUGGUAUUAAACAGAUGUGAGAUAACACAUCCCUUAACGAAUGAUCUAGACUCGUGACAAUACGAUGUUCUAAAGCGAAAUUGCGCACUGGAAAUUGAUGCGAUCUCUUUGAACAAUCACUCCCAAAAUAAGAACUCUCUAUUGUACUGUAUAACAAUAUCACAAAAUACCAGAAUAAUCUUAAAAAAUGACCUUUUUUAAAAUUAUAGAAAUUGAAUAAUGAUUUUAGUGUGUUUUUUCGAACGACAAAACUUGCAUGCGUGCGUGUGUGUGUAGGAAUUAUCUUAAAAAAUGACUUUCUUUAAAUUUAUAGAAAUUGAAUAAUGAUUUCAGUGUGUUUUUUCAAAGGACAAAGCUCGUAUAUGUAGAACCAAAUUUUUUAUAACUUCCACUGCAAUAAGCUAGGAUUUAACUAGGAAAAAAAACUAUAAUUUUUAUGAGGUUUUUAUGAUUUUAAUUAACCAUCCAAUAACUACCUUCAACUGCCAUUUUAGCACUGGUUCGUUGUGAAUUAAAUCGCCGACCUCCCAUAUAAAUUCCCCAAGUUUCACCAAUUAGGCAUCUUACCUAAUUUAAUUAUUUCUUUCAAGUAAUAUAUUUGAUACAUAUAAAAAAAUCUUCGUUAGGUGAAGUUUUUUCGAUUUAUAAUUUUCUAUACUUUUAAAUUUGUUUUCUAAUUAAGUGGUUGGAAUACUUCCUGACCUUCAAAUAUGUGAAUACAAUUAUUUGAACAUGUGGCAGUAUAUACGCAAAUACUUACCCGCGUAAAAGUUUAAUAUAACAUUCUAAGACUUGAAUUGAAGAAUUGAAGAAAAUAAGAAUCUUCUCAUAUGGUCACAAUAUAUUUUUAAGUGGAAAUUACAUAAUUCAAGUGUUUAAAGAUUAGAAUUCAAAAAUAAGGGACCAAGUUUCAUUAUUCAAAAAUCAAGUAUGAAUAUGAUAAUAUUAUCCCUAAUUCAAUUUCAACCCUAAUUUUACUCUCUCUCUCUCUCUCUCUCUCUCUCUCUCUCUCUCUCUCUCUCUCUCUCCAUCUUCACCCUCUCUUCCUUUCCCUGUGCUAUGCCGCCGUUGGAGCACCCGCCGCCGGAGACCUUACCCAUUUCACUUCAAUUGAUGACAUCGUGUUGUCACCACCGCGUAAGCUGCAUUGUGACGAUCUUUACUACGCAGCGCGAUGGAUUUGUGUGAAUCACCGUGAGUUGCCACCGGGAAGCAAAUUCACUCACUUCGACAACUCUUCACAAGCGAAACACCACAACUAGCGCGCGAAGUAGAAGCAUCGUUGUAUGGUGGAUUUAGCGGUUGGGGGUGGUUUUGGAUGGUGGUUUGUGUGAUGGUGUUUGUGUGGUUGGUGUUUGUGUGGUAGCGUUUUUGUGGUUGUAUGGUGGAUUUGGCGAUUGGGAUGGUUUUGGAUGGUGGCUUGUGUGGUGUGGUGGCGUUUGUUUGCAGGCAAUGGCUGUGGUGUGGUGCGACCGCUGUGUUGCAAUGCGAUGUAGGUAGUGGCUAUGAUGAUAGUGUGGUUCAGGCAAUGAUGAUGGUGAUUUUUUUUGGUGUGUUUGGUGGUGGGGGUCAUUGUGGUUUUUGGUGGCAACGAUUUUUUUGGCGGUGAUGCCGUGGUGUUGGUGUUGGUAGUGAUGUUGUUGUGGUGGUGGCGGUGGUGACAAGGUGAGGGUUGUUGUGAGUGAUGGUGGUGGCAAUGGAGUUGGUGGUGACCGACUAUUUGACAUGUAACCAACUGUUUGGUUAUUCGUGACCAACUGUUUAAUUGUAAUCUUAAAAUUCGAUAAUCUGUGACCAACAAAUUUGAAAAUAUGUGAUCGAUAUAUAAACUGCGACCUAUAAUUUUUUCAUCUGUGACUAAUGAAAUUAAUUGGGACCUACAAAAUUUUUGAUUUGUGAUCUCAAAAUAAUCUGUGACAUACAAAAUUUU
This 5247-nucleotide long non-coding RNA is filed under the name Olea europaea subsp. europaea. Lineage: Eukaryota; Viridiplantae; Streptophyta; Magnoliopsida; Lamiales; Oleaceae. The record is from RNAcentral.